CGUGCACCAGUGUGGUCCCUCAGCCUGGCCUGUGCCCUCCUGCAACCCGGGCCCCCUCAGGGGAUGUCAGAGAGCUGGUUUCAGCCCAAUCCUGCAGGCCAGGCUGAGGGACUCCACUGAUGCAUG
This 126-nucleotide microRNA precursor is filed under the name Myotis davidii. RNAcentral's name for it is "mir-9193 microRNA precursor family". It matches the Rfam family "mir-9193 microRNA precursor family". The record is from Rfam by way of RNAcentral. Lineage: Eukaryota; Metazoa; Chordata; Mammalia; Chiroptera; Vespertilionidae.